GACGAACGCUGGCGGCGUGCUUAACACAUGCAAGUCGAACGGAGAGGCCCUGCUUUUGUGGGGUGCUCGAGUGGCGAACGGGUGAGUAACACGUGAGUAACCUGCCCUUGACUUUGGGAUAACUUCAGGAAACUGGGGCUAAUACCGGAUAGGAGCUCCUGCUGCAUGGUGGGGGUUGGAAAGUUUCGGCGGUUGGGGAUGGACUCGCGGCUUAUCAGCUUGUUGGUGGGGUAGUGGCUUACCAAGGCUUUGACGGGUAGCCGGCCUGCGAGGGUGACCGGCGACAUUGGGACUGAGCUACGGCCCAGACUCGUACGGGAGGCAGCAGUGGGGAAUAUUGCACAAUGGGCGGAAGCCUGAUGCAGCAACGCCGCGUGCGGGAUGACGGCCUUCGGGUUGUAAACCGCUUUCGCCUGUGACGAAGCGUGAGUGACGGUAAUGGGUAAAGAAGCACCGGCUAACUACGUG
This 468-nucleotide ribosomal RNA is filed under the name uncultured bacterium. Its description in RNAcentral is "partial 16S ribosomal RNA". It matches the Rfam family "Bacterial small subunit ribosomal RNA", at positions 28 to 507 of the family's 1533-position model. The record is from RNAcentral.